Molecule: ribosomal RNA, 491 nt
Filed under: uncultured bacterium
Lineage: Bacteria
Description: bacterial SSU rRNA
Rfam family: Bacterial small subunit ribosomal RNA
Source: RNAcentral
GAGUUUGAUCGUGGCUCAGAUUGAACGCUGGCGGCAGGCCUAACACAUGCAAGUCGAGCGGUAGAGAGAAGCUUGCUUCUCUUGAGAGCGGCGGACGGGUGAGUAAUGCCUAGGAAUCUGCCUGGUAGUGGGGGAUAACGCUCGGAAACGGACGCUAAUACCGCAUACGUCCUACGGGAGAAAGCAGGGGACCUUCGGGCCUUGCGCUAUCAGAUGAGCCUAGGUCGGAUUAGCUAGUUGGUGAGGUAAUGGCUCACCAAGGCGACGAUCCGUAACUGGUCUGAGAGGAUGAUCAGUCACACUGGAACUGAGACACGGUCCAGACUCCUACGGGAGGCAGCAGUGGGGAAUAUUGGACAAUGGGCGAAAGCCUGAUCCAGCCAUGCCGCGUGUGUGAAGAAGGUCUUCGGAUUGUAAAGCACUUUAAGUUGGGAGGAAGGGCAGUAAAUUAAUACUUUGCUGUUUGACGUUACCGACAGAAUAAGCACGGC